CCUACGGGUGGCUGCAGUGGGGAAUAUUGCACAAUGGGCGCAAGCCUGAUGCAGCCAUGCCGCGUGUGUGAAGAAGGCCUUCGGGUUGUAAAGCACUUUCAGCGGGGAGGAAGGCGGUGAGGUUAAUAACCUCAUCGAUUGACGUUACCCGCAGAAGAAGCACCGGCUAACUCCGUGCCAGCAGCCGCGGUAAUACGUAGGGUGCAAGCGUUAAUCGGAAUUACUGGGCGUCAAGCGCACGCAGGCGGUCUGUCAAGUCGGAUGUGAAAUCCCCGGGCUCAACCUGGGAACUGCAUUCGAAACUGGCAGGCUAGAGUCUUGUAGAGGGGGGUAGAAUUCCAGGUGUAGCGGUGAAAUGCGUAGAGAUCUGGAGGAAUACCGGUGGCGAAGGCGGCCCCCUGGACAAAGACUGACGCUCAGGUGCGAAAGCGUGGGGAGCAAACAGGAUUAGAUACCCGAGUAGUC
RNAcentral lists this ribosomal RNA (465 nucleotides) under uncultured Klebsiella sp. Its description in RNAcentral is "bacterial SSU rRNA". It matches the Rfam family "Bacterial small subunit ribosomal RNA", at positions 338 to 795 of the family's 1533-position model. The record is from RNAcentral. Lineage: Bacteria; Pseudomonadati; Pseudomonadota; Gammaproteobacteria; Enterobacterales; Enterobacteriaceae.